Long non-coding RNA from Agelaius phoeniceus (red-winged blackbird), 3091 nucleotides. RefSeq lists it as uncharacterized. The record is from RefSeq and is a predicted model, not a curated record. Lineage: Eukaryota; Metazoa; Chordata; Aves; Passeriformes; Icteridae.
UAGUCUGGUACAGACGCCCCGCAUUCACCUGCGGCGGCGGGGGCCGCACCUGAGGUGGGGGCGGUGUCUUUUCCGCCAUGUUGGGCUUUGCCCGCCUCUGCCACCGGCCCUUAGGCGGGUCUGGCAGGAAAAAGUCCUGCCCUGCCCUGCUCGCCUGGCGCAUAGGGAGCAGCUCGCCGGGUGUUUGGAGAACCGGAACUUGGCAGCCGGGGACGUAGCGAAAAACCUAUGCGGAAAGCUGCGUUGUCUAGAGACGUUCCCGUGUGCUUAGCACGGGUGAGAGGUGGCUCGAAUUCUCAGUUCUGUGGCCCCGAGUUCACGAGAGACAUGGAAGUUGUAGAGAAUGUCCAGAGAAGGGCAACAGAGCUGGUGAAGCGGCUGGAGUAGAAGGAGGAACGGCUGAGGGUGUUUUGCCUGGAGAAAAGACAGCUCAGAGAGAAUCUUACCGCUCUCUACAACUCCCCGCAAGGAGUCUGUAGCCAGGUGGGGUCGGCCUCUUCUGCCUCUUACCAGGCAGCUGGCAACAGAUUUAGAGGACACGGCCUCAAGCUGCGGCAGGGAGGUUUAGUCUGGACGUCAGGAGGAAUUUCUUCAUUGAAAGGGUGAUGAGACGUUGGACCAGAAGUCAGUGUUCCUGGAGGUGUUUAAAGAAAGACUGGACGUGGCACUUAGUGCCAUGGUCUUGUUUGACAUGGUGUUAGGUCAUGGUUUGGAUUCGAUGAUCUCACAGGUCUUUUCCAACCUAAUUGAUUUUGUGAUUAUGGACAGCCCUUAAUUCUAAUAUAGUAAUGAGUAAGUAAUGUCUCCUGAUGUCCUGAUUCCAGCUGGGGUAGUGUUAAUUUUUUUGCAGGUGCCAGGAGGGAGCGUGACUCGGAUGUGGAGGUUAUUCUGUCCCAGCUCACAUCAUUGAUCAUUGCCAGGAGCAGGGGAAAAGGGUUUUUUCCUGUGGAGAAAACGUGGAGGAGGGACCCGACUGGUAUUGUGUAUUGGGAGCGGGGGCAGGUUUCUUAUCUCAUUGAUGUUUCCAGUAUAUUGUUGUGCCUCUAAUUCUCAACUCCAUCCCAAUGCAGCAGGAAAGAUGAGGGGAAGGGGGAGUGAGAAGGAGCAGUGUGUGGUUUGGGAAGGUCUCAGUGGGGGUCCUGAACUGAGAAGUACCAUUAUUAAACCGUGACACCUGGGCAGAGCAUGAAGAGGUCUGCUUUGAGCUGCUGCCAACAUCCUCCUGCUUUUGCUGAAUUUCGCUACAGAAGGUUUAGCUCACGUGAACCGUUUUGCUGUUCUUUUAAUUCCUUGGAUUAAAGAAUAAUAUUAAGACUGUGUUACAUGCUAAGAGCAUAUGCCAUCCAGAGGGAAAACAGAAGAGGUGAAAUUUAGUCCACAGAAGUGCUUUACUUUGUUGGUGACUCCAAGCCCUACUCAAGCUCCUGCUGCUGCAAGUAUUUCCUUCUUGGCAGUGCACAGUCUGAGACACAGAACCAUAAAUAUUUGCUGUGCCUUAUAUACACCAAGAUGGACGUCAGUACUGAGUUUUUUCACUUUGAACAAUGAGAAGAUAGCACUUUGGGAAGCCUAAGCCAGCUAUUCCUGCUGCAUGCAUGCCUGAAUUGAUGGCAUUGUUCUGCGGAGCUGAGAGAUUCUCCUUCCUGUUGGUCUGUCCCUGUGUGAAGCAGGAGUUCACAGGAUUAGAAUGAGCCAGAAAUUAAAGGAGGAGCCCCUCCCUCAAAGUUUGGACAUCCACUUGGAAACCUUUAGAUCCCACUCCCAGUUCAAGCGAUUUGUGAGGGCAAGUGUUCCAGCUAAGAGCUUGCAGUUGGACACUGCCUUCGCUAAGAUCAAGCUCUCCUCAGGCUCAGACUGUCAGGGCUAUUUUCAUGAGAUGAAAGAAAUCUUAAUUAAGUGUUCAUAUCUUUGUCAGCCAGACUCAGAAUAAAAAAAUGAUGUGAUUCCCUUGAGCUUCACUGCUUGUUAUACUCUGCAAACGCUGCUUGUUAUACUCGGCAACAAAGAUACUGGGAAGAAUAAUGUGAAUCUCAUUUAACAUCACAAAGAAGCUUUCCACAGCAGGAAAAGCUGAUGUGGAACUAUUGAAUUUGCAUAAAAAAAACCUCUCCACUUUAUCCUCCCAAAAAAAAAAAAAAAAAAGGAAAAGAACGAUUUAAAGAGUAUUUUAAGAAUGAUGGCAUUGUUUCUUGUACUUAAGGGAAGAGGUGAUAGGGUAAUGAUUUUAGUCCUACCCUCUGUGAAAGAUUCCAGUUCUUCCUUGCCACAAGCAGCCCAGAUGACCUCAGGCAAGAGACUUCCUUCUCGCUGAGCCUUAAUUCUCUCCUUUUUGCUAGUUCAAAGAGGAUUUCUGAGGCUAAAUAUAUUAAAAACUCUGGGCUCAGCUUACAGUCAUGACAGACCGAGCAAAAUCUCAGAGAAUCAGCGAGUACUAGUGAUAAAACUUCCUCACGAACAGACCAUGGCAUGCAGGACCAAAGCAUCCACAGCAGUAAGAGCAGGAAGCCAUACACAGAUCUGCAAGUCAGAAGCAGCUGCAAAAGAAUGCUUGGGAUUCCUUUACCAGCAGGACGUUUUAACUCCUUCCCUCUCAGCAGUCUGUCCUUGGCUAGAAGAUGGGGGUUGAAUGCUGUAACCACACACUGAACUAUAGCCAGGAUGGCAAGAUUUUGAAGAAUAAGGUGCUGUUCUGCUUCAGCAUUUGCUGUGUUGUGUGAAUGGAAACCUACAGACUCUGAACUGAUAAUCAUAUGCAACCUCGGGCAGAGCUCGCAUCACUUUCUAGUGAAAAUAUUGUCCUGAUGGGGGUUCAGAAACAGAGGCACAGUGAUCUGAUCUGAUCUGACCAACACUACUACAGGUCAACCAAAGUUACAGGAACACCUUGUCCAUUGGCUUCUUUGCCAGGAGAUAAAAGGUGCAGUGCAGGACAUGUUGGAGCUCCUCCAUCCCAAAUGGAAGGCACUUGAGUAUGAGGGCAGGAACAAGCUACUGCUAUUUUUAAUUUUUUUUCCUAUAACUUUAUGCAUGUGCCUGCUACUCUGCAUUCUAAAACUAAAAAAAAAAAAAACAAACAAACCAAAAAAACCCC